UACAGAGGGUGCAAGCGUUAAUCGGAAUUACUGGGCGUAAAGCGCUCGUAGGUGGUUUAAUAAGUUGGAUGUGAAAUUCCCGGGCUUAACCUGGGGUGGUCAUCCAAUACUGUUGGACUGGAGUACAGUAGAGGGAAGUGGAAUUUCCGGUGUAGCGGUGAAAUGCGUAGAUAUCGGAAGGAACACCAGUGGCGAAGGCGACUUGCUGGACUGUAACUGACGCUGAGUCACGAAAGCGUGGGGAGCAAAC
RNAcentral lists this ribosomal RNA (250 nucleotides) under uncultured bacterium. Its description in RNAcentral is "partial 16S ribosomal RNA". It matches the Rfam family "Bacterial small subunit ribosomal RNA", at positions 524 to 773 of the family's 1533-position model. The record is from RNAcentral.